GCACUCCCGGGGCGUCUCUAUCUCAUUGCGAGAGGAGGCGCACCUAGAGCGUACACGCUGAUACCCGAAAGAUGGUGAACUAUGCCUGGCCAGGACGAAGUCAGGGGAAACCCUGAUGGAGGUCCGCAGCGAUUCUGACGUGCAAAUCGAUCGUCGGAGCUGGGUUUAGGGGCGAAAGACCAAUCGAACCAUCUAGUAGCUGGUUCCCUCCGAAGUUUCCCUCAGGAUAGCUUGCGCUCAAGUGGAACGAGUCUCAUCCGGUAGAGCGAAUGAUUAGAGGCCUUGGGGUCGAAACGACCUCAACCUAUUCUCAAACUCCAAAUAGAUGAGAACCCCGGCUUUCUUGAAACAAUUGUUUUUUGAAGCCGUGGGAUUCGGAUCAGAGUGCCAAGUGGGCCAAUUUUGGUAAGCAGAACUGGCGCUGUGGGAUGAACCAAACGUUGAGUUAAGGCGCCUCAAUCGACGCUCAUGUGAAACCAUGAAAGGCGUUGGUUGCUUAAGACAGCAG
RNAcentral lists this ribosomal RNA (508 nucleotides) under Wygomiris sp. 19050b-21. RNAcentral describes it as "partial large subunit ribosomal RNA". It matches the Rfam family "Eukaryotic large subunit ribosomal RNA", at positions 755 to 1243 of the family's 3401-position model. The record is from RNAcentral. Lineage: Eukaryota; Metazoa; Arthropoda; Insecta; Hemiptera; Miridae.